GUCUAUGGCGGACCGUGCGGGGUGGGCUUUUGCCCACCGGGUUUUUGCGUUUAUUGACCGGGGUUCUAACCCUGCACGGUCCGCCACCCUU
RNAcentral lists this non-coding RNA (91 nucleotides) under Metapseudomonas resinovorans NBRC 106553. Lineage: Bacteria; Pseudomonadati; Pseudomonadota; Gammaproteobacteria; Pseudomonadales; Pseudomonadaceae. The record is from RNAcentral.